GUAAUCCACAAGGGGAGCCCUUAGGCUGAGAGUGAGCGAUUUAGUUCAGACCCUAUGAACCUGUUAGUUAAUGCUAGCGUAGGGAUGUGGUAUUGGAUAAGA
RNAcentral lists this non-coding RNA (102 nucleotides) under Bacillus sp. (in: firmicutes). RNAcentral's name for it is "Bacillus sp. TPP sequence". It matches the Rfam family "TPP riboswitch aptamer (THI element)". Rfam says of the family: Vitamin B(1) in its active form thiamin pyrophosphate (TPP) is an essential coenzyme that is synthesised by coupling of pyrimidine and thiazole moieties in bacteria. The previously detected thiamin-regulatory element, thi box was extended, resulting in a new, highly conserved RNA secondary structure, the THI element, which is widely distributed in eubacteria and also occurs in some archaea. Analysis of operon structures identified a large number of new candidate thiamin-regulated genes, mostly transporters, in various prokaryotic organisms. The record is from RNAcentral. RNAcentral also lists the same sequence under 1 other name. Lineage: Bacteria; Bacillati; Bacillota; Bacilli; Caryophanales; Bacillaceae.